This 160-nucleotide non-coding RNA is filed under the name Chelonia mydas (Green sea turtle). Its description in RNAcentral is "Eukaryotic large subunit ribosomal RNA". It matches the Rfam family "Eukaryotic large subunit ribosomal RNA", at positions 2825 to 2984 of the family's 3401-position model. Lineage: Eukaryota; Metazoa; Chordata; Testudines; Cheloniidae. The record is from Rfam by way of RNAcentral.
GAUGAUUGGCUUGUAGCAGCCAAAAGUUCAUAGCAAUGUCACUUUUUGAUUCUUCAAAGUUGGCUCUUCCUAUUAUUGAGAAGCAGCCUUCGCCAAGCAUUGGAUAGUUCACCCACUAAUAGGGAAUGUGCACUGGGUUUAGACCAUCAUGAGACAGGUU